Oreochromis niloticus (Nile tilapia) is the source of this 1040-nucleotide long non-coding RNA. RefSeq lists it as uncharacterized. NCBI's taxonomy places the organism in Eukaryota, Metazoa, Chordata, Actinopteri, Cichliformes, Cichlidae. The transcript has 2 exons. The record is from RefSeq and is a predicted model, not a curated record.
UCAAGGCGGACUUUGCUAACGAUCACCGGACCUGUACAGAGCGAAAGGCUACUAACUGCAGAGGCUGACCGAUCAGGUUUGCUGCUCGGAAGGAGUAAGUGUGCAGCUGCAUGGACUAAGGGCCGGACCUCUCGGCUUGCUGUGACUUUGUGGAAGGAGACUGAGAGUUCCAGGUGCUUUUAUUGUGAAAGGGGGGCGAGAGGAAAAGAAACGGGGGGAGAAGGCAGCAGCCACGAGAGGUGGGAGGAGAGAAAAGCGUGCGCGAGAUGCGGCUAGCGUCUGCAGAGACUUUUUCCAAUGGACGACAAGGAUAAAUCAUCCCACGUCGACGGCUGAGUAACAGAGCGUGACUGUGAGGUGGUGCAGCCCGGACUGGUUUGCACUGUUGCCUCGGAAUCACCUAGUUAGCGGCGUGCUAACUUGGCUAACUGGAGUUAGCCCUCAAGGCGGACUUUGCUAACGAUCACCGGACCUGUACAGAGCGAAAGGCUACUAACUGCAGAGGCUGACCGAUCAGGUUUGCUGCUCGGAAGGAGUAAGUGUGCAGCUGCAUGGACUAAGGGCCGGACCUCUCGGCUUGCUGUGACUUUGUGGAAGGAGACUGAGAGUUCCAGGUAGGAGCACCAUUUUGUUUUCUUUUAGGACCGUUGGUUCCUACGCACACAAGCAUCGAUCCAGGCCUGCACCGAGGGGACUUGGGAAAUUGGGGUGUGAGAGUGUGUGUGUGUGUGUGGGGCCCAUUACGGUAAAGAACUGUGUAACUGUUGUUAUUGUUAUAUUUUAUCAUUGCAAGGGACUUCUUACUUUAUUGAUUUAUUGGGUGUUUACCAGUUCAUUCAGUAAACCUGCUUGGUUUAAACAGAAGAUUGUGUGUCUGGUACUGUUUCUUAUCUAUAGUUCAGAGUAAGGUAAAAGUGUAUCUGUGUGUUAUACGUGUGUAAAUCAGGGGAGCUUGCACUGAGGGCAACUAAGUAAGUUCAAGGUAACUAGAACUCAGGGCGUACCCGGCUAUAGUGGAGUACACAGUCUGGGGCGCUACA